AAAAUAGUAAUGAUGAAAGAAAGUACUUGUCGAUUGUCAUACAGAGAGCUAGUGGCUGGUGCGAACUAGUUGGCUACGGCAAUGAAGUUCCUUUCUGAACUGCAGGCUGAAACAUCAGUAGGCUGCGCCGUAAUGCUACGUUACAGCUGCUGAGUGCAUGAUUUUGAAGAAAUAAUCUUGAUACAUGCAAUAUGGGUGGUACCGCGGUUAUGUCGUCCCUAAC
RNAcentral lists this non-coding RNA (223 nucleotides) under Sporomusa malonica. RNAcentral describes it as "T-box sequence". It matches the Rfam family "T-box leader". From Rfam's summary of the family: Uncharged tRNA acts as the effector for transcription antitermination of genes in the T-box leader family. The record is from RNAcentral. Lineage: Bacteria; Bacillati; Bacillota; Negativicutes; Selenomonadales; Sporomusaceae.